This 471-nucleotide ribosomal RNA is filed under the name Staphylococcus aureus. RNAcentral's name for it is "bacterial SSU rRNA". It matches the Rfam family "Bacterial small subunit ribosomal RNA", at positions 220 to 683 of the family's 1533-position model. Lineage: Bacteria; Bacillati; Bacillota; Bacilli; Caryophanales; Staphylococcaceae. The record is from RNAcentral.
UAUAGAUGGAUCCGCGCUGCAUUAGCUAGUUGGUAAGGUAACGGCUUACCAAGGCAACGAUGCAUAGCCGACCUGAGAGGGUGAUCGGCCACACUGGAACUGAGACACGGUCCAGACUCCUACGGGAGGCAGCAGUAGGGAAUCUUCCGCAAUGGGCGAAAGCCUGACGGAGCAACGCCGCGUGAGUGAUGAAGGUCUUCGGAUCGUAAAACUCUGUUAUUAGGGAAGAACAUAUGUGUAAGUAACUGUGCACAUCUUGACGGUACCUAAUCAGAAAGCCACGGCUAACUACGUGCCAGCAGCCGCGGUAAUACGUAGGUGGCAAGCGUUAUCCGGAAUUAUUGGGCGUAAAGCGCGCGUAGGCGGUUUUUUAAGUCUGAUGUGAAAGCCCACGGCUCAACCGUGGAGGGUCAUUGGAAACUGGAAAACUUGAGUGCAGAAGAGGAAAGUGGAAUUCCAUGUGUAGCGGUG